This 106-nucleotide ribosomal RNA is filed under the name uncultured bacterium. RNAcentral's name for it is "partial 16S ribosomal RNA". It matches the Rfam family "Bacterial small subunit ribosomal RNA", at positions 1379 to 1482 of the family's 1533-position model. The record is from RNAcentral.
CCUUGUACACACCGCCCGUCACGCCAGGUGGGAGUGGGUUGUACCAGAAGUAGGUUGCUUAACCGCAAGGGGAGCGCUUACCACGGUAUGGUUCAUGACUGGGGCG